This is a long non-coding RNA of Oreochromis niloticus (Nile tilapia), 251 nucleotides long. RefSeq lists it as uncharacterized. NCBI's taxonomy places the organism in Eukaryota, Metazoa, Chordata, Actinopteri, Cichliformes, Cichlidae. The transcript has 3 exons. The record is from RefSeq and is a predicted model, not a curated record.
GAUUAAACAAACAGCUGGAAUCGGUGAAGAGCACGGCCUCUGUCACUGAGAGGAAGACAGCUCAGCACCGGGCAGACUCAUUCAAACACAUUUCCAGAAUGAUGAUGAUCUGUGCCAUCCUACUUCUGUUUGUGGCCUCCGCCAACACACAGUCUUCAAACUCGUCUGCAACCACAGCUGCUCCAACAACAGCUACAGCUGCAACAACAACAGCUACAGCUGCAACAACAACAACUACAACUGCAGCAACA